GGGGAAUCUUCCGCAAUGGGCGAAAGCCCGACGGAGCAAUACCGCGUGAGGGAAGACUGCCUAUGGGUUGUAAACCUCUUUUUUCAGGGAGGAACAAAAUGACGUGUACCUGAAGAAUAAGCAUCGGCUAACUCCGUGCCAGCAGCCGCGGUAAGACGGAGGAUGCAAGUGUUAUCCGGAAUCACUGGGCGUAAAGCGUCUGUAGGUGGUUUAAUAAGUCAACUGUUAAAUCUUGAGGCUCAACUUCAAAAUCGCAGUCGAAACUAUUAGACUAGAGUAUAGUAGAGGUAAAGGGAAUUUCCAGUGGAGCGGUGAAAUGCGUAGAUAUUGGAAAGAACACCGAUGGCGAAAGCACUUUACUGGGCUAUUACUAACACUCAGAGACGAAAGCUAGGGUAGCAAAUGGGAUUAGAUACCCCAGUAGUC
Molecule: ribosomal RNA, 426 nt
Filed under: uncultured cyanobacterium
Lineage: Bacteria; Bacillati; Cyanobacteriota
Description: bacterial SSU rRNA
Rfam family: Bacterial small subunit ribosomal RNA
Source: RNAcentral